RNAcentral lists this long non-coding RNA (8122 nucleotides) under Xyrichtys novacula (pearly razorfish). The record is from RNAcentral. Lineage: Eukaryota; Metazoa; Chordata; Actinopteri; Labriformes; Labridae.
CCUUUAAAGGCCACCGUACCUGUGAGUCAUUCAAGACCCUAGAAAAAGGUUCAAACAGCGUCAAUAAAUCUGGACGGUGAAGCAGAGCGACGACUGUGAACGAACUUUGUGAAAGAAACUUAAACGUCAUAGAGAAGCUGAACUUCAGCUGCUCUGUGUGUGUGUGUGUGUGUGUGUGUGUGUGUGUGUGUGUGUGUGUGUGUGUGUGUGUGUGUGUGUGUCUGCAGUGAGUCAGCGCGGGGUGUGCUGCUGAAGUGUGUGUUGAAGAGCCUUACAUAAACAUAAAGCUGCUUUAUCAUUUGUUUACAUAAUGUUUGUUGAAGCUGAAGUUUCUGUGUGUUCGUGUUUGUGAAGGCGGUGGAGGAGUUCACGCCGCAGAGCGUCACACCUGCACACCGAUGACUCUGUCAGGCUCUCACAGGUGAAGUGUUGGAGCCGGAGGGUGGGGUCAGUUCGGAGUCAGCACCAACACCAGAGCGGAUCAAGAUGCGAAGAAAAAAGACCUGAAAUCCCUGAAAUGUAAGUCCUCAUGAAUCCCAGCUCGAUCCAGACUCUGGACCUGGAUCACCUGGACUUUAAAAUACACCUCUUAAUAUUCAGGACCAGGUAAUCCGGUCUGCUUUAGUCGAGUUUGGAAAAGGGAACAUUCAGAGAGUAAAUCUGGAUUUGAUCAGGAUUCUCUGGGUUCAGCAGCUCUGCAGAGGCCUGUCUUCAGUCCGGGUGUAAAUCCACAUGAAACCACAUGUUGAGAGUCUCUGGAGCUCACUCUCUGUCCUUGUUUGGUUGCUCCAUGUGAACACAUGUGGCUGAUCUAAAGUCGUGGACCGUAACGUCAGAACUAACCGUGAUAUUCCUGCAGAGACGAGGUUCUGACCCGGUUUAACGCUCUGUGUUAAUGAGGUUCUGGUCCUCAGGCCUCGUUGGUUCCUGAUGGACUGGAACAGCUGGUUCCUGAACUGCUGUUCAGCCUGGUUUGAGCUUUUGUCCUGACUGUUGUCUCACUCUGCUUCUCUGGGGGGUCUGUCUCCGCUCCUCUGAAACUCUUCCUCGUGUUUUAGAGGACUUUGUAAAUCCACGUUUCAAAGCUGUUGGAGACAUCAACAGUUUUUUGGUUCUUCUUCAUUUUCUGCUUGUUUGUCAAACGUUGAAACACACGGAGAGUGAAGUGUGUUGUGUUGUAUGGUAUCGUAUUGUAUCAUAUCAUAUUAUAUUCUUUUGCUCAUUUUAUAUCAUGUCAUGACGUAUCUGUUCAUCUGUUGUUUCUCUGUGUUUUGUUCUCUUGUAUCUUAUUUUACCAAGUCGUCUAACAUCUUCUAACCGUAUUAAAUCUCAGUGUAAACUUAUAUCCUAACAUAUCCGAUCAUGUUUGUAUCUCAUCUCGCUGUAUCAUAUCCUAUUGUGUCUCGUAAAACUGUAUCAGAUCAUCUUAUUUUGUAUCUUGACUUGUAAUAGUAUCUUAAUGUAUCAUAUUGUAUUCUAUAGAAUCAAAUUGUAUUUUUUCUUAUCAUAUUGUAUCAUAUCUCAUAGUAUUGUGUUUUUAAUCAUAUCAUAUUAUAUAUAUAUAUAUGUAUAUAUAUAUAUAUAUACACAUAUAUGUGUACAUAUAUAUAUAUAUAAAUAUACAUAUACAUAUAUAUAUACAUAUAUAUGUAUACAUAUAUAUAUAUGUAUGUAUAUCAUAUAACAUUGUUUCCUCUCCUAUCAUAUUUUAUCUUAUCUUAUUGUUUUCUCUCUUAUCAUACUGUAUCAAAUCUCAUGUUGUCAUGUUUGUUUAUCAUAUUGUAUUGUCUCAUAUUUCUCAUCUUAUCAUGUUGUUUUGUUUCCUAUCACAUCUUAUCAUAUAUUGUAUUGUUUUGUGUGUUAUUGUAAUGUCUCCUUUCAUAUCAUAUCUCAUUUUCUCGUGUUUUUUAUCAUAUUCUAUCAUAUUGUAUUGUUUCCUCUCUUAUCAUAUAGUAUCAUAUCUCAUGUUAUCAUGUUUUUUUAUUAUAUUGUCUCAUACUAUUUCUCAUCUUAUCGUAUGUUUUGUUUUAUCUCUUAUUUUACUGUAUUGUAAUCUUGUUUGUUUAUCAUAUUGUAUCGUCUCAUAUCAUUUCUCAUCAUAUAGUAUCAUCUCUCAUUGUAUCAUGUUUUUUAUUAUAUUGUAUCGUCUCAUAUCAUUUCUCAUCUUAUAUUGUUUUGUUUCUCAUCACAUAUAAUAUAUUAUUGUGUGUUAUUAAAAUGUAUUCCUUUGUAUCAUAUCGUUCCAUAUUGUGUCUUUUUCUCCUGUCUCAUAUGGUAUCAUCACAAUAAUAAUAAUAAUAAUAAUAAUAAGAAGAAGAACUGUGCAUCAAAAAGAACCAGGAUGAGACUCAGAGCUGAGAUCUUCAGGUCCGUGGAAACCCUGUCGGGGUCGUGGUUGAGGAUUUCUCUGUUCGUUCACUUUAAUCUCAUGUUUCUCUCCAUCUUUAAAAAGUCCGUCCUCUAUUUUAAUCCCUCCUUUUCUUUCUCAUUGAUUUCUGUCCAAACUCUCUCUCUCUCUCUCUCUCUCUCUCUCUUGUUUCCUGUUUUUUUUUCUCUCUCUCCAGUUUUUACCCAUUCAUCCCUCGUUUUCCCUCUAUGACGCCACUUAAUGACCAUCUCUAUGUGUGUGUGUGUGUGUGUCGGAUCUGGGAAUCACAUCAGAACUGACAGCCACCACAGACAAAAGGCCACAUCCACACACACACACACACGCACACACACACACACAGACACACACACACACACAGACACACACACACACACUUUCAGGUCAAAGGGAAAAGUGACUCAGCUCUCCCAGGAGACCCAUACACUUUCAUUACUGUGUACACACACACACACACACACACACACACACACACACACACACACACACACACACACUUAUUCGUCCUUGUUUUUUUUAUUCUUCUGUCUUUUAUUCAGUUUUUUCUUCCUGGAGUUUCUCGUGUUUUAAGGUCGACGCUCCAACAUUUAUUCUGUUUUCUCUGUUUCGCUUCUUUAUUUCUCGGCUAAUUCUGCAGCUUUGGUCCUGAAAAGUCCUGAAAAGUCCUGAAAAGUCUUGAAAAGUCCUGAAAAGUGACAAAACUACAACACAUGACAUUUGACAUUCAAUGAUCUUUGUGUGCUGGGACGUCUCACUAUUGGCUGCAGCGCCACCUACAUGUGAGUUAUAGGUUAUUUAGAUUUCCAGCGGAUCUUAAAUGAGAAAGAAACUGCAGGUCAUGAGUUUUGGGAUUGUGCUGUUCAUCCACAGGCCACAAGGUGGAGCUGUAGCUGCUGUGUUAAAUGAUCCCACACUCAUGAAGAAGUUGUUUAUGAAAAUCACUUGAAUGUGAGUCACCUGAACAGGAGGGCGUUUAUAAACACACUUUAGAGGUGUUUUAAUUCAUCUGUCUGUGGGGAGUCUCAGCUUCACUGUAGAGAGUAAGGACGGAGGAAACAACGGAGAGAGAGGAAGAGACGGCUGAGAGAGAAUGAGAAGACAUGAGAAAAGGGAAGGGAAUGAGAAAAUUAAACUAGGAAAGGAGAGAAGAAGAGGGAGUAAGAAUAGGGUAAAAAGAACUAAGGGGAGAAGGAAGCAAGGAAGAAAACAAGGGAGGGAGGAGAUGAGAAGAAGAUUGUCAUAGUUGUGGUCCGGUGAGAGAGUCACAGAGGGAGGGAGGUGACCCCUCAGAGGGAGGACCUCCGAGACCACGUAGUCUAGACACUGUUAAUACCAGGGAUUAACACACAUGCACACACACACACACACACACACACACACACACACACACACACACACACACACACACACACACAUGUAUCAGUCUGAGAAAAUGUGAAAUUCUGGAGGAAAUACUCGACUCUGAUUGGCUGACAGCUCCCUGUUAUUAUCCACACUAACACUGAUGGAACCUUUAAAUCUGUAAAGGACCUUCAAAAACCUUCCAGGAAAACGCCUGGAAUUCCAAACAGAACCUCUGGAACUCCCUGAAAGACCGUCUGGGACUCCUCGAGGCCAGUCACUAACCAAUCCGUCCCAGAAGCCUUUUUUUUUUUGUGGAUGGUAGGGGAAGGUCCCGCCCUCCUUCGCCUCUGAUUGGCUAGAAGUGCUGAGCUCUGAUUGGUUAUUGUUUAAGGCUGUGAAACGUCAUCGUCUGUUGGGUUAGGGUAAGAAGAUUCAGAAGUGCGAUAAUGUUCUGAAAUGUUCUGUUUGAUGUACAGAGUCGACAGCCCGUGUUUGGCUUAAGCGUGUGAUGAUGUUUCCAGCUUUUCUAGCCAAUGAGUGGCAAAGGAGGCGGGACUUUCUUCUACCAUCCUACAAAAAAAAAAUAUUGCGUCCAUAUGUGUGAAACAUCUGUCACUUCCUCUCUACCGAUCGAUGGCGAUGGGACAGGCUAGCUAGCAGGAGGCUCCAGAGCUAAUGCCGAGGUAUUCGCCAGAGUUCCUGCCCAGAACGGUGAGACCUUUUGGACCACAGAGAGCGCCACCACCUGGUCGAAAUAUUCACAUUCAUUCAAGCCUUUUAGAACUACGUUAAAAUUUUAUGAUUUAGCUGGAGUAGGAAUCUUUAAUCGUAAACCUGGGCGCCGUUCUCUUGACUUUCUGGCGCUCCGCUUCAGUCAGGGGAAGAAAAAGAAAAGUGUGGCUGUUAGAAAUCGAAGCGUCCUGUCUGACUGUGGCGAGCUCGCUGAUGAUGAAGCUGACGCAAAGAUGGCGAGUAGAGGAGGUGAUGUUCGUUUCCCAUAUGUGCAGUACAAAUCGGGUUUACGGGACGGAUCAGGCAGCGACAGGCCUUCAAAAAUAUUCCAGGAGCCAUGGGAGCAUUUCAAGGAUCCUCUGUGGUCGGACGCUCUGAGGCUGAACGUUUAGCGUCAUUGUUGAAUAUUCGAGGCUCUUCUUUGUGGUUCUGGUUCCAGUUUAAGUUUGUCUAAAAGAGUUUGAGCGGACACCAAAGUCCAGUCCCAGUUUUGUGUUUGAGAAGUUCUUAAAUCAGGAAAAUGUUGAGGAAAGUUUUGACAUUUGAAGUCAGAACAAUUUUCCCCGUGAUGACUCAGUCUUGAUCAUCUUCAGACGUUUGUCGUCCCCUCCAUCUUUAACGUGUUUGUGGAUUUUUAUUUGUUUACAGUCAUUCUCUGACUCUCGUGUGUGUGUGGGCGUCGCCCCACGAUUCCUCCCUUUUUUUCGCAGCAGAAUCCGUUUCUGAUCGUCUUCUCUCGCCCUGCCUGCGAACAAAAACAUUUGGAUUCAUCCCAUAUUUUUUGGUCCUGGUUGGUGGAGACAUGAAACCACAGGGUGGAGAUUCAUUCUCUGAGAUGAACCAACAUUUAAAGAUUUGUUUUGGCUAACUCGUGUUAUUUAAACACUGUGAAAUGAUCAAAUAAUCGCUCAUGAGGCGAACAGGUGUGAGUGCAGCGAAAGGCCAGCGUCUGCUUCUUUGGCUGUGAGGGUGGAGCUGCACUUCGGAGAGUCAUUACUCCGUCUUCUUUGUUUUUUAACAGGCAGAGAGCCUCAGGAACAAACAGAGUGCAGCUCUCGGUUUGGGCCGAUGUCUCCCACAGAAAAACAAAAACCCACCUCAGUGUUUAGUCUCCUGUUGCCUCGUUUCUUUUCCAGCCUGGACAAAAGGAUUCUGGGAGGGACACGACCAAACGGAGCAGAUCUGGAAAUUCCUGCGCUGGAUUGUUUUUGAGCUGCAACCAGAGAGAUGAGUCACAGUGGGUAAGGACUGUACGCUCACACACACAUAAACACACAUAAACACACACACACAUAAUCAGGCACGAGGGCAGAAUAUCGCAUGCAAACAUCUGCACACAACCUGAAACGUGUACACACAGUUGGACGUAUGGAACACAGAGACUUAUUUACAUCCUGGAAACACAUGUAUGCAUGCAUCAGGAUCAGGGGGCUUUUAUUGUGAAGGAGAAAACUGGCAGGAUAUAAAAGAGUAUCUUCAUGAAAACAGACACAACACCAAACAUGGAACAGAAGGUCUUCAGCGUCUCCUUUACAUGCAUCAAAUCACAGCUCAGGAGACCAGAUCUGGACCUGCGUACAAAUCCACACCAUCAGGGCGCCGCUUCAGUUCAAGUUUUCACCACACGCACAGACGUCAGAAGUCCUCAUCAGUCACAGACUGAGCGCCCAGUCCAGUCCUCUGCCGGUUCUUUGUUUGUGUUCAGCUGUCCUGUUCGAUAAAGGUGAGGAGGUCCAGGCCGAGACUCGGACUUCAGCUCGAAUCAGUCCUCGAAUGUUCCCCACAGAUCAGGGGAGAUCAUUUUUAUGACGCAAGACCCUCCAAUCAGAGACCAGAGAUCAUCCAAACGGGUCAAAUCAACAUAAACCAGCUCAGAGGAACGAGAGGAGGACAUGUCUGUGGACGACUGACCGAGUCCCCUGACCAAGUCCCCUGAUACUAACAUUAAAAUGUAACCUGGUGAAGAUACCGUCAUGACUGUUAGCUUUGACCUCAGACAAACCGGCUCUCUGGUCCUGGACUAGAUCCACGUAGAUCUCCAAAUGUCUUUAUUUGAUAUCAUGUUGAUUAAAACCAGAUCAGUCUCUCAAAAGACUCGAGAUUCAGAACCAAAGGACUUGAACCGGGUUUGUAAACUAGAAACAUGACUUGUACUUGUCCCAGACAAGUUUAGGACUUGGACAUGAUACCAAAAAGUUGGGUCUCAACUUGGACUUGUGAACAAAGUCCAGAUAGACCAAGAGACCAUGAGACUUGGGACUUGAAUUAACCUUGUGCCCACCAAAACUUAGGACUUGGACUUGCUCCUCACAUACUUGGGACUUGACUGUUACUUGUGAGCAGAAGACGAAAGACUUGAUAAGAACUUGUUCCUGAUCCACAUCAGACUUGGACUUAUGACUUGACUUGGACUUAUAGCCACGCGUGAAUAUUUGACUUGGACUCGUGUCACAAAGUCUCAGGACUUGACUUAAAUUCGCUACCAGAAGUUUGGACUUGAUUUUAAAAUGUGUGUAAAUAUUUGGGACUUGAAAUGUGACUUCCUUUGGGACUUGACUUGGACUUUCCUCUGAAGACUUGGGACAUGUUUUGGACUUGUGAUCACAAGACUAAAGACUUGCGAAUUGUGAUUUGAUUUGAACUAAUUUCUAAGCGUUAAGACUUUAACUAACUAAAAAACAAAAGUCCCAGGACUUAUAUUUGGACUUGGACUUGUGACCCAAAUACUUUUAACUUUGGACUUUAUUCAACUGUCAGCAAAAAGACCUGGGACUUGAAUCAGACCUUGGACUUUCACUUAAGGCUUAAAACAUGAUGUGGCUUCACAGACUCGGGUUUCUUGACUUUGGCCACAAAAUGUCGGACUUGACUUGGAAAAGUCAAAGAUGUGACCAGACUUGAGCUCACUCGCACGAGAACAGACUUAACGAAGUCUUGUCCUCGCUUUUAAUCGGAGACUUGGGACUUGACGGACUUGUGGCCGAAAGUUUUGUGACUUGGACCUUCAUUAUGCACUUGUUCAGUUGGGCCUUUGUCUUUGGACUCAUUGGGACCUGCUCGCAGUAGAAGACAGCCCCUGGUGGACACUCUGGGAACUGCAGUUUUUGACAGCAUGUUGUAUCCUGGUUUUUAUUUGCUUUUUGUGAAUCUUUCUGCUGCCCCCUAGUGGUCCAAAGAAGUCCCUCCAGCCUCAGUAUGGGGGUCAAAGUUAAAGGAGGAUAAAGUGUUGGAAAACAGCGCCUGAGUGAGUGUUUUGAUUCUGGUAAAAAUAACAGAGGUGUGGCCCCUCGUAGUACUACACACACACACACACACACACACACACACACACACACACACACUCUGGCUGUCUGUACCUGUAAUAAAACCACAGGUAGCAGCACGCCUCGGAGCGUCUUUAUUUAGUAACCACCCACACGUCGGUUACCUCACUGACUGUUAGGAUUCCCCCAGGAACCAAAUCCUGCCGGCUCUUACCAACCGGGGUGUGACACAGAAACACACCUCCAAGCAAACACACACACACACACACACACACACACACACACACACACACACACACACACACACACACCUGACUAUCAGCUGCAGUCUGGAGGCGUGUCUAGACCAUGAUGCACGAGCUGCUUCAUCAGACUGUUGUGACCCUCUGUGUCAUCC